AUGGCCUCCCCCCAACUCCCCUCCCCCUCUUCUCCGGAUUCCUCCCUCUCCCCGCCUCUCCGGCCGCCUAAUUUCAGUCGAUGGGAGCUGAAAGCUUUCAAAGGAACCAGAGAUUCGGAUGACUCGGUCGGACACGGAGGGAGGGCGAGGCCGAGAGGGGUCAGAGAGGGAGGACCGGUGCUGUCGGAUUCCCCCUCGGGAGCCGAGCCGAGCCGAGCAGGACCGUCCCUUCCCGUCCCUUCCCGUCCCGUCCCGUCCCUUCCCGUCCGCGUCCCGGCGACUGGAGGGUGGUCGUGGGGGCGGCCCCCGCCCGGGUGGGGCAGGGCGGCGCGGGCCUCGACUGAGCCUCCCAGCCGUAUAGGACAGAAAGAACUCCCGGAGAAGAUGGCAGCCCUGCUGACCUCCCGGUCAUCCUCAAGCCCCCAGCUGGAGAGAGUGGAGGUCAAGUCGGAGCGAGAGCCCCAAAAUGAGUUGGAGCGGAGCCCAGAGCCAGGAUCAGAGGAACAGCUGAGCCCCGACCUGGAGAUAGAAUCCGCGGCGGACCAGGAGAGGGCUUUGCCCGUUCCAUGGGUUCCAGCCAUUCCCAAGGAAGAAAGCCUUGAGGAUGAGGUGACAACUGAGUAUCUUCUACCCAAGCCCCAGGUAAGCUGCUGAUCUGCCUUCCUGAGAUGAAGCUCAAAACUUCCCCCUCCCGACUCGAUUCUACUCGCAUCACCCCCACCAUCCUCCCCACCAAGAAGAGGCGAGUUAAGAUUGCAGCACCAGGGACAGAAGUUAGCCCAAAGGAACUGCUUCCUGUUUGUCAGCAUUACUGUCACUGAAUUCAGUGCUAUCUUGCCUGAGGUAGGGAAGGGAGGAGAGCGGGAUUUUCUGCAGGGCCUAACCAGGUUUAGGAGUCCACGAUCGCGAACUCGGGAUUUACAUGGAGUUUUCCUCAAGUCCCUCUUCCCACCAAGUCUGGCCUCAUCCUAGGGAUUUCUGGGAUUCUCCAUAGCUUUCUCCUUUGCCUCUCCACCUUCCUCUAGGACUGGGCUUAGGAACCUGGGGCAUAGCCUGGCUGGUAAGAUGCCCACUGAGCCACUAGUGGCUGGUUCCUGCAGUGAAAUUCCACAACUGACCUCCCCUCUUCCCCAGGGUCCUCCCCAGUAACGGGAAUUGGACUGAGAGUGCAACAGAAGGGAAUGAGGGUUAUCCCUCUUCCCCAGGUCCUCUCUCAGCAUUUCCA
This 1225-nucleotide long non-coding RNA is filed under the name Ornithorhynchus anatinus (platypus). RNAcentral describes it as "lncRNA (ENSOANG00000036835.1)". Lineage: Eukaryota; Metazoa; Chordata; Mammalia; Monotremata; Ornithorhynchidae. The record is from RNAcentral.